RNAcentral lists this ribosomal RNA (1308 nucleotides) under Pseudocrangonyx komaii. Its description in RNAcentral is "partial 28S ribosomal RNA". It matches the Rfam family "Eukaryotic large subunit ribosomal RNA", at positions 104 to 906 of the family's 3401-position model. The record is from RNAcentral. Lineage: Eukaryota; Metazoa; Arthropoda; Malacostraca; Amphipoda; Pseudocrangonyctidae.
GAGCCCAGCGCAGAACCUCCCGGGCCACCCGGCCUGCGGCGGAAUGUUGCGUAAAGGGAAAGGUCGUAGUCAAACCCUUCAGCCACGCGAGCGCUAAGUCAGCCACGAAUAGGCUAUCCCAACUAACGGAGGGAAAGACUCCAUGGAGGGUGUAAGACCCGUGUGGGCGCGUGUCAAUGCUGAAUGGGGUCGGCCUCUUUUCCCUGAGAGUCGCGUUGCUUGGGCAUGCAGCGCUAAGCAGGUCGUAAACUCGAUCUAAGGCUAAAUAUAUCCACAGGACCGAUAGCGAACAAGUACCGUGAGGGAAAGUUGAAAAGCACUCUGAAGAGAGAGUCAAAAGACCGUGAAACCGCUCAGAGUAUAAGCCCAUGGAGCUUGGAAGGCAUACGCUAUGAAAACGGCACACUCUCGGGUGUGCUUGCAGUCUAGUGGCGCGGUUCGUCAGGCAGGGGCAGUUGAGUUGAUAUCCCGUCGACGUGCGGAGAGCAGUGGAGGUACUUGUGAGGGGUCCGGCUCGUCCGGGCUCGUGCGCUCUCCCUAUUCUCUGGGCGCGGACGUUCAAGGCUUUCUAGACUAUGGCGGCAUUGCCCAUCACGGCUCGUUGUGAGGUCACCCACAGGCUCAACUGCCGAUCGCGCUGUUCUCCUUGCAAGCGCUGUUGUGUGUCGAAGACCCCCUUUUGGCUAUGAGAUAGUGGCGGGGCAUGACACGUGCUGCAAGGCCUCUAAUGAACCGGGCGGCAAUCGAGAUAAAUCCCUGGUUUGAUCCUCGUGCGACGAGCCGCUUUCUGGCCAGAUGGACAUCCAGGCUUCGCUCAUGUGCCGAGCGAGGUCCACUCCAGGCGGUCUGAGCCCUCUGCUGUCUUCUAUUGGAGACAGCAUGGUCCUCCCAGCCGGGUGUCCAUCUGUGUGGUGUUAAGUCCAGCACCAUCGGUCACGUCUCGAAACACGGGCCAAGGAGUAUAGCAUGUGUGCAAGUCUAAGGGUUCCACAAAACCCGAAGGCGAAGUGAAAGCAAGGUUGUGGCGGGUGCGCUUCGGCAAUCCCGUCAGCCGGUGUCGGUGGUGGUCUCCUCGGAGGCUGCUGUUGCCCGGCUUAUGACAGAGCUGAUCUUGCUAUGACGGAUAAGUCCUGAGGCAGGCGCAAGCUCCGGGCUCGCUUACAACACUGGUCGCUUGCGGCUGUGUUGCGAGCACCGUGUAGCAUGCAUGCUAUGACCCGAAAGAUAGUGAACUAUGCCUGGCGAGGGCGAAGCCCCAGGAAACUGGGGUGGAGGCCCGUAGCCGUUGUGACGUGCAAAUCCAUGGUA